Molecule: ribosomal RNA, 468 nt
Filed under: uncultured bacterium
Lineage: Bacteria
Description: partial 16S ribosomal RNA
Rfam family: Bacterial small subunit ribosomal RNA
Source: RNAcentral
GACGAACGCUGGCGGCGUGCUUAACACAUGCAAGUCGAACGGACAGGCCCUGCUUUUGUGGCGUGCUCGUUUGGCGAACGCGUGAGUAACACGCGUGUAACCUGCCCCUGACUUUGGGAUAACUUCAGGAAACUGGGGCUAUUACCGCGUAUGAGCUCCUGCUCCAUGGUGGGGGUUGGAAAGUUUCGGCGGUUGGGGAUGGAUUCGCGGCUUAUCCGCUUGUUGGUGGGGUAGUGGCUUACAAAGGCUUCGACGGGUAGCCGGCCUGGGAGGGUGGCCAGCGACAUGGGGACUACGAUACGCCCCAGACUCCUACGGGAGGCAGCAGUGGGGAAUAUGGCACAAUGGGCGGAAGCCUGAUGCAGCAACCCCGCGUGCGGGAUGACGGCCUUCGAGUUGUAAACCGCUUUCGCCGGUGACGAAGCGUGAGUGACGGUAAUGGGUAAAGAAGCACCGGCUAACUACGUG